AGAGGCCGAAGGCGAUGCAGAAGGCGACGAGGGCGCCGUAGGAGCGCGCGCGUGCGCUGCUCAGGUCCGUGAGCCCAUUGGCCAGCAGGGCCAGGCUGAAGAGAUACGGGACGUGCGGUCGCAGACGCGCCAGGCCCGCCAGGGCGCCGCACGCCGGCCGCGCCACGAUGUCCACGAAGCCCACGAUGGACAGCAGAAAGGCGGCGUCGGUGUCUGGCACGCCCGCGUCCUUGGCGUAGUUCACCAGCAGGAUGGCGGGGACGAAGAGCCCGAGCGCCAUCAGGAACUUGGUGGCGGCGUACACGGCGAAGGCGCGGUCGGUGCACACUGCCAAGUCCAGCAGGCGCCGGCGGGGCCGGGUCCUGGGGGUUGCCUCGCUCAACUGCGGCCCCGCGCCGUCCGCCUCCGCCUCGCCCGGAGCGUCCCCCGCGCGGUCGCCGGCGCUGUCCCUCCGCGGUCGCGGGCCCGGCCCGGGCGGCGGCCUCAUGACAGCCCCGCAGGCGCAGCAGUGCAGCAGGAGCCCGCCGAGCAGCAGGAAGCCGCCGCGCCAGCCGAAGCGCUCCAGCAGCUGCUGGCCGAGCGGCGACAGCGCGGACAGGAACACGGGGCUGCCCGCCGCCGCCAGCCCGUUGGCCAGAGGCCGCCGCCGCUCGAAGUACAGCCCCAGCAUGAUGAGCGACGGCUGGAAGUUGAGGGCCAGGCCCAGGCCUGCGGGCGAGGCGGCGCUGUGCCGGGGUCCCCAGGGAGCCCCUCCCUGGCCCCCGCAGGAGGGAGGGGCCAGGCCCGGGAACCCAGCAGAUCCAAGAACCCAGCCGAAGGACUUCGAAGACUGUCCCACAUAGGGAAACCGAGGGCAGAUCUUGCAGCAAGAACCCCCGACCCCCAAACCAGAGGGGAGGAGACCAGGGGGCCCUCACCUGUGAGCACCCCAGCGGUCAGGUAGAGCUCCAGGAGGCGCGUGGCAAAGGAAGCCAGGAUCAUGCCCGCGGAAGCCAGCAGCCCACCCGCCAGCAUCACCGGGCGACAGCCAAAGCGGGUCACGAGGAUGCUGGACACGGGACCUGUGGGCAGGGCAGGGUCACCACCCGGGUCCCGGGAUGGCUUGAGUCCUCUAAGGAAUAAGGUCACCUCCGGCUCAGGGACCCAGAGAGGAGGGCAUUGUCUGGCCAAGGUCACACAGCUUGGAGGGGCAGGCCAAAGAGACAGCAGCCUGCGAGGGCAAGGCCCAGAGCACCCUAUCCCCACCCCUCCUGAGAACCCAAACCCCAAGCAGAGCGGGGACUUCCACACCCCUUUAACCUUCACAGCCUCCAAGUUCUGCCCUGGCACAGCCUGGGAUUCCUCCGCAGCCCCGCCUCCCAGGAUGGGAACUCCAGCAAGCCCCCCACCUAACAGGGCGCUGAAGGAUGAGGGUAGGAUGAGGGGUCCCACCUGACUCUGCACCUCAGCAGGCUCCCUCUGGAGAACACUGCUGGCCCCUCAGGACCUCAGGUGGAAGGCAUCGGGAAGUGGAGCAGGUGUGUGCCUGGAGGUGGGCGACCAGUACCAAAGUAUGCGUGAGGGUCUCGGGACAACGGAACAAACAGCAGAGGGGCAGAUGCCAGCUGCAAAGGGCCAGUGUGCGUGAAGAUUUUCCUUUUUAGCCUUGCGCCAUGUUCUUAAUAUUUCUUAGUGAUCACAAAUGACUAUUGUCAUUAGAACAUGAAGGGGACAAAAGCCACUUUCAACAGGUAUCAGCCAGGGGAGCUGAGUUCCCAUGCUUCCCAGCUCAGCCAUGGAUUCCCUCCCUGACUUGGGCCAGUCGCCUCCCCUCUCCGAACCUCAGUUUCCUCCGAUGUGAGAUGGGUGAUUGAUCACCCCCAGGCCAGCUGGGAAUCUUGCGGGAGAGGAGUCAGGUCUCUGGCUUCUGCCAGACAGGUAGGAACCUUAGCAGCACUGGGAGAGUGGCCUUUUGCCCUCCAAACCUCAAACCCUCUGUAUGCAAAGAAUGGCUCCAAAGCCUGUCUCAUUCGUGGGGCUCCCCCCAGGGCCCUCACAGCCGCUACAAGCGCUCCCCUAACAGAUGAGGAGGGUGCACUCAGAGACAGGUGCGCCCGGAGCCCGGAGCCCGGGGCUGGGGAUAGCCUCCUCCCCUCCUGCCUGGAGUGUCCCUCCUGGCACUGGGCAGUGCCACCACCCCCAGGGUAUCUGGAACUCUGCCCCUCCUCCACUAGGACCAGGUCGUGGCUUUUCCUGCCUGUUGUUCUCUUGUCACAGGGGCAGCCACUUGAAGGUGGAGACAGGAGAGUGAUCCCAGGCAGCCCUCACAUCACACUCACCUGAGCCUGCCUCGUGGGUUUGUGGGGUCCAGCCUCACGUCUCCUGAGGCCUGCAGGGAGGGGCUGCUGUCCCUGCAGCUGUCCGCGGCAGCUCCCGGUGAAGCUUACCCGGAUGGGGUCUGCCAGACACUCCAGCUUCCCACCAGCCUGGGCUGAGCUUCUGGCGGACUCCCGCCUGACGCUCCCUCCCCCAGGCCUGGAGCUUAGAGUGUGUGCCCCCACCACACCACACCCCUGCUAAGAGGCUUUUGUCCAGGAGGGGAGAAGAGACUGGGAGCCCCAGACCAGGCUGGGGCUCCACGGUGGGCUCCCUGUCCCGACAGUCCAGGAGGGAGGAAGAGAAAUCCCUCUGCCUCCUGGAGCCUGGGGUUGCAGACACAGAGACCCUGCCCAGGGGGUCCUAGUCAGGUGCUCGGAGCACAGCCCUGCCCUGAAGAGACCCCAACGGUUCUAAUCACCUCAGUGCCUCAUCUGCCCCCGCCCGACCCCCCGCCCCAGGCCACAUUCCAGGAGGGGCUGGCGGCUUUCUCCAGGAUGAAGCUAAUCCAUGCCUGUGCCUGGGGAUGUGGGGGUGGGGAGGGGCCAGAACAAAGAGUGCUGUGUCCAGGCCGCCUGAGGGCAGCUUGCUGGUGGUCCCAGCCCUUGGCCACUGCCAACCCUCCCCUGACCUGAGCAGCCACUACUUCCUAUGAAACCCACACAUCAAAAUGAGAGUGGGUGGAGAUGGGGGCUGCAGUGCCAGGGCUUUGGGGUAGCCCUGAAGGAUUCUCCAAACGAGGGGCUGGGAGUGAGAUAGCCUCCCGGGGAAUGGCCAGGACCUCAGUACCCUCUGGACCCCAUUCUCCAAUGGGGGAGUCUCCAUCCCUCACCCCCUGCCCUGUCCCCCAAAUAAGACACCACCAAUCCUGCUGCCACGUCA
Macaca mulatta (Rhesus monkey) is the source of this 3237-nucleotide non-coding RNA. The record is from RefSeq and is a predicted model, not a curated record. Lineage: Eukaryota; Metazoa; Chordata; Mammalia; Primates; Cercopithecidae.